RNAcentral lists this ribosomal RNA (479 nucleotides) under uncultured bacterium. RNAcentral describes it as "partial 16S ribosomal RNA". It matches the Rfam family "Bacterial small subunit ribosomal RNA", at positions 28 to 507 of the family's 1533-position model. The record is from RNAcentral.
GAUGAACGCUGGCGGCGUGCUUAACACAUGCAAGUCGAGCGAGAAGUUUUGAAAAGAUUCUUCGGAUGGAAUUUAAAAUGGAAAGCGGCGGACGGGUGAGUAACGCGUAGGCAACCUGCCCCAUACAAAGGGAUAGCAUUUGGAAACGAAUAUUAAUACCUUAUGAAACUUAUCUAGUGCAUGCUAGGUAGGUCAAAGAAUUAUAGGUAUGGGAUGGGCCUGCGUCUGAUUAGCUAGUUGGUGAGGUAACGGCUCACCAAGGCGACGAUCAGUAGCCGACCAGAGGAGGUGAACGGCCACAUUGGAACUGAGACACGGUCCAGACUCCUACGGGAGGCAGCAGUGGGGAAUAUUGCACAAGGGGGGAAACCCUGAUGCAGCAACGCCGCGUGAACGACGAAGGCCUUUGGGUCGUAAAGUUCUGUUCUAGGUGAUGAAAACUGACAGUACCCUAGGAGAAAGCCCCGGCUAACUCCGUG